RNAcentral lists this ribosomal RNA (1389 nucleotides) under uncultured bacterium. RNAcentral describes it as "bacterial SSU rRNA". It matches the Rfam family "Bacterial small subunit ribosomal RNA". The record is from RNAcentral.
AGAGUUUGAUUCUGGCUCAGAUUGAACGCUGGCGGCAUGCCUUACACAUGCAAGUCGAACGGCAGCACGGAGCUUGCUCUGGUGGCGAGUGGCGAACGGGUGAGUAAUAUAUCGGAACGUACCCUAGAGUGGGGGAUAACGUAGCGAAAGUUACGCUAAUACCGCAUACGAUCUAAGGAUGAAAGUGGGGGAUCGCAAGACCUCAUGCUCGUGGAGCGGCCGAUAUCUGAUUAGCUAGUUGGUAGGGUAAAAGCCUACCAAGGCAUCGAUCAGUAGCUGGUCUGAGAGGACGACCAGCCACACUGGAACUGAGACACGGUCCAGACUCCUGCGGGAGGCAGCAGUGGGGAAUUUUGGACAAUGGGCGAAAGCCUGAUCCAGCAAUGCCGCGUGAGUGAAGAAGGCCUUCGGGUUGUAAAGCUCUUUUGUCAGGGAAGAAACGGUGAGAGCUAAUAUCUCUUGCUAAAGACGGUACCUGAAGAAUAAGCACCGGCUAACUACGUGCCAGCAGCCGCGGUAAUACGUAGGGUGCAAGCGUUAAUCGGAAUUACUGGGCGUAAAGCGUGCGCAGGCGGUUUUGUAAGUCUGAUGUGAAAUCCCCGGGCUCAACCUGGGAAUUGCAUUGGAGACUGCAAGGCUAGAAUCUGGCAGAGGGGGGUAGAAUUCCACGUGUAGCAGUGAAAUGCGUAGAUAUGUGGAGGAACACCGAUGGCGAAGGCAGCCCCCUGGGUCAAGAUUGACGCUCAUGCACGAAAGCGUGGGGAGCAAACAGGAUUAGAUACCCUGGUAGUCCACGCCCUAAACGAUGUCUACUAGUUGUCGGGUCUUAAUUGACUUGGUAACGCAGCUAACGCGUGAAGUAGACCGCCUGGGGAGUACGGUCGCAAGAUUAAAACUCAAAGGAAUUGACGGGGACCCGCACAAGCGGUGGAUGAUGUGGAUUAAUUCGAUGCAACGCGAAAAACCUCACCUACCCUUGACAUGGCUGGAAUCCCGGAGAGAUUUGGGAGUGCUCGAAAGAGAGCCAGUACACAGGUGCUGCAUGGCUGUCGUCAGCUCGUGUCGUGAGAUGUUGGGUUAAGUCCCGCAACGAGCGCAACCCUUGUCAUUAGUUGCUACGAAAGGGCACUCUAAUGAGACUGCCGGUGACAAACCGGAGGAAGGUGGGGAUGACGUCAAGUCCUCAUGGCCCUUAUGGGUAGGGCUUCACACGUCAUACAAUGGUACAUACAGAGCGCCGCCAACCCGCGAGGGGGAGCUAAUCGCAGAAAGUGUAUCGUAGUCCGGAUUGUAGUCUGCAACUCGACUGCAUGAAGUUGGAAUCGCUAGUAAUCGCGGAUCAGCAUGUCGCGGUGAAUACGUUCCCGGGUCUUGCACUCACCGCCCGUC